CCUGGUGGUUUUGGCGGGAAGCCUGAACCCGUUCCCAUUCCGAACACGGCCGUUAAACUUCCCAGCGCCAAUGGUACUAAGUCUCAAGACUUGGGAGAGUAGGUCGCUGCCAGGC
Molecule: ribosomal RNA, 115 nt
Filed under: Variibacter gotjawalensis
Lineage: Bacteria; Pseudomonadati; Pseudomonadota; Alphaproteobacteria; Hyphomicrobiales; Nitrobacteraceae
Source: RNAcentral